This 531-nucleotide ribosomal RNA is filed under the name uncultured bacterium. Its description in RNAcentral is "partial 16S ribosomal RNA". It matches the Rfam family "Bacterial small subunit ribosomal RNA", at positions 355 to 900 of the family's 1533-position model. The record is from RNAcentral.
UGGGGAAUAUUGGACAAUGGGCGCAAGCCUGAUCCAGCCAUGCCGCGUGAGUGAUGACGGCCUUAGGGUUGUAAAGCUCUUUCGCACGCGACGAUAAUGACGGUAGCGUGAGAAGAAGCCCCGGCUAACUUCGUGCCAGCAGCCGCGGUAAUACGAAGGGGGCUAGCGUUGUUCGGAAUCACUGGGCGUAAAGGGCGCGUAGGCGGCUUUGUAAAGUCGGGGGUGAAAGCCUGUGGCUCAACCACAGAAUUGCCUUCGAUACUGCAUGGCUUGAGACCGGAAGAGGUAAGUGGAACUGCGAGUGUAGAGGUGAAAUUCGUAGAUAUUCGCAAGAACACCAGUGGCGAAGGCGGCUUACUGGUCCGGUUCUGACGCUGAGGCGCGAAAAGCGUGGGGAGCAAAACAGGAUUAGAUACCCUGGUAGUCCACGCCGUAAAACGAUGAAUGCCAGCCGUUGGACAGCUCGCUGUUCAGUGGCGCAGCUAACGCUUUAAGCAUUCCGCCUGGGGAGUACGGUCGCAAGAUUAAAAA